RNAcentral lists this ribosomal RNA (241 nucleotides) under uncultured bacterium. Its description in RNAcentral is "partial 16S ribosomal RNA". It matches the Rfam family "Bacterial small subunit ribosomal RNA", at positions 15 to 248 of the family's 1533-position model. The record is from RNAcentral.
GAUCCUGGCUCAGGAUGAACGCUAGCUACAGGCUUAACACAUGCAAGUCGAGGGGCAGCAUGAUUGAAGCUUGCUUCAAUCGAUGGCGACCGGCGCACGGGUGAGUAACACGUAUCCAACCUGCCGAUAACUCGGGGAUAGCCUUUCGAAAGAAAGAUUAAUACCGGAUAGCAUAGUUUCCCCGCAUGGGGUUACUAUUAAAGGAUUCCGGUUAUCGAUGGGGAUGCGUUCCAUUAGGCAG